This 408-nucleotide ribosomal RNA is filed under the name uncultured bacterium. RNAcentral describes it as "partial 16S ribosomal RNA". It matches the Rfam family "Bacterial small subunit ribosomal RNA", at positions 28 to 526 of the family's 1533-position model. The record is from RNAcentral.
GACGAACGCUGGCGGCGUGCUUAACACAUGCAAGUCGAACGAAGUGGCGAACGGGCGAGUAACGCGUAAUCAACCUGCCCUUCAGAGGGGGACAACAGUUGGAAACGACUGCUAAUACCGCAUACUGACGGUGGGGAUUUCGUCUGAUUAGCUAGUUGGAGGGGUAACGGCCCACCAAGGCGAUGAUGAGUAGCCUGGCUGAUAGGCGUAACGGCCACAUUGGGACUGAGACACGGCCCAGAAUCCCUAGGGAGGCAGCAGUGGGGAAGUUUCCGCAAUGGACUAAAGGUUGACGGAGCAACGCCGCGUGAGUGUUGACGGCCUUCGGGUUGUAAAGCUCUGUUAAUCGGUACGCGGUACCGGAAUAGAAAGCCACGGCUAACUACGUGCCAGCAGACGCGGUAAUAC